GGGGUCGUAGUGUAACUUGGCUAGCACGGCAGGCUCCAGUGGCAAUUGUGGGUCUGCUGACGAAAGGAUGAUGACCUAUUGGAGCUGUGCUAGAGAGACCUGCAAAUCCGGGUUCAAAUCCUGGCGACCCCA
This 132-nucleotide transfer RNA is filed under the name marine sediment metagenome. It matches the Rfam family "tRNA". From Rfam's summary of the family: Transfer RNA (tRNA) molecules are approximately 80 nucleotides in length. Their secondary structure includes four short double-helical elements and three loops (D, anti-codon, and T loops). Further hydrogen bonds mediate the characteristic L-shaped molecular structure. tRNAs have two regions of fundamental functional importance: the anti-codon, which is responsible for specific mRNA codon recognition, and the 3' end, to which the tRNAs corresponding amino acid is attached (by aminoacyl-tRNA synthetases). tRNAs cope with the degeneracy of the genetic code in two manners: having more than one tRNA (with a specific anti-codon) for a particular amino acid; and 'wobble' base-pairing, i.e. permitting non-standard base-pairing at the 3rd anti-codon position. The record is from RNAcentral.